This 22057-nucleotide long non-coding RNA is filed under the name Panax ginseng (ginseng). RNAcentral describes it as "long non-coding RNA (PGIN_LNC004600)". Lineage: Eukaryota; Viridiplantae; Streptophyta; Magnoliopsida; Apiales; Araliaceae. The record is from RNAcentral.
UUCUCUUCAUUUGAUACUCCCGUAGCCCAUGUUCAAAAGAAAGAAAAAGAAGGAGAAAAGAGGGGGAUAGGAAGGAAAAGAGGGAAAGGAUAAGAGAGCAAUAAUUAUACUUUCUCCCACCUCUAUUUCUCCUACAACAAAAUCAGCAGAAAGAAAAGAAAGAAAAAGAGAGAGAAUGAAAGAGAAAGAAAGAAGAAGAUGAAACCAUGGAAGCAUGAAGGAAGAAUAAGAAAUCAAAAGGUAAAACCAAAAUUUUUCAUCUCUUUACUUUUCUUAAGAGUUUGAUUUGUUGAAAGUUGGGUUAUAGGGGAUCAUGAUGGAUCCAAAGUAAUAAGGAAGUAUAUGAUAAAUAUUUUAUGUUUAAUCUAUGUCAUAAUUGAAUUUAAGAUCAAAAAGUUAGGAAUGUGUUUGAGGAUGAAUAAAAGUUAUUUUGAGGACUUAAAUCAAACUUGUAAAAGUGUUGAUAGUUGAUUAAUGUGUAAUAUCUGAGGAGGAUGAUCUAUAGAUUAAGAAGUUAUGGAAAUAUUCCAAUUUGAACGGACUAAAAAUGAUUUAAAUCGAAGUAGUGGUGAAAGUUUUCGUAAACAUGUUAAACGAUGAAAAACUUAGUCUUGGGGGACUUUUGAGCAAAAUUUUUGAAUAAUUAAUGAAUCUGAAAAAUUAUGAAAUCAUGGAGGUUUUGUAGAGCAUGUUACAAUCUUUCCAUAACCUUGAAAAUGGACUAAUUCCGACUUAAAAUGAAGAAGUUAUAAAGAUUUGAAGUAUGUGCGUCAAAAGUUGCAAAAUCUAGAACAUUGGAGUUAAGUGCCAAGGGUCGAGCGCCUAAGCACUAGGCUCGGCGCUUAGAAUCUGUUCUAGGGCGCCUAGGCGCUUGCCCAAGGCCAAAUUUGGGCGCCUAGGCGCUGAUCUAGUGUUAAGCCAAAAUCUGUUCAGACGUCCUUUAGUAAAUUGGGCAUAACGUCUUCAUAUGAACUCCGAUUGAGGUGAUUCAGGAUGAUUUAAAAAGAUAACGAGUAGACCCAAAACUUUUAUUCUUUAUAUUUUGAGAUUUGAGGUAGUUAUCAAGGCCUAAAAUGGCUAUUUUAGUGACUAAUGUGCAUUUAGAGGCAAUCAGAGGACGUCGGGCAUGCACGUAUGCAACGUGUAAUGUUUUCGAUGAUAAAUGAUGUUGUUAUAAGUUGUAAAACAUGAAAAUUAUUAAAUAUAAUGAUAUUAUGCGAUGAAUAAAGACAACUUAAAUGAACAAUGAAUUAUUAGUUGGUGUAUAUGUUAUUCGAUAUAAUUAUGAUUUGAUGUUGAUCCUUACUUUUAAUAGAAUUUGAAUUGUUUAUAAGUAAGGUAUUAAUUUGAUUCUUACAUAAGAAGUCACUAUGUAUUUUAUUCAAUAAUUGUCACAGUAGUUAUUACACAGUGAUUCAUAUUAUUGAUUCUUAAUUAUGUAAGAAGUCACUCAGUCUUUUAUUCAAUAAUUGCCACAGUAGUUAUUGCACAGUGACUCAUAUUAUUUGAUAUGAUAUAAUUAAACCAGUUGGCAGUAUUGAGAGUAUAUGUUAAUAAUUGUGAAUAAUGGUUCAAAGAUUGAAAAUGGUGUUGAUUAAAGAUAAGUAUGAUAUACAGAUGGUUGUUCAAUUAUUUUCUUUUUUACAAAAGUAAGUUUGGCAGGACUUGCGAACACUCUACUUUUACUAAAGUAGUAUGGACCACAACUCUAUUAUUGAACAAAUUUUAUUAAAACGUGUACAAAGUUGGUUUAAUUUUCUCUGUUGGACCAUAAAUUCCACUACCAUUUUUAUAUACCUCAUUUGGUUAAUUUGUCAAAGCAGAUGUGCUUGUUUACUAAAUUUUUAGUAUAAAUAGGUUGCUCGGUUGAGUAACUAAACACACAUCAUCACUACACUAAAAGUAUAGAAUUCUUUUACUUCAAUAUUGUGAGUAUUUCUAUUGAGUUUAAUGUUACUCCAAGUGUAGAUAAGGAAUGCAAGCAUUGUUUAAGUUGAUUAAUUUCAUAGAAAGCAAAAUCAAGUCACAUGCUAAGGUAAGGGAUAUCAUUAUUAUGGUAAGAGGGUAUCAUUUCACUGUUGAUUUACUUGAUUAUAAAUAUGAAUUAUGAUUUAAUUAUAAUCUGUGGUGGUUCAGGUGAAAACAUGUGAUGAGAGUUCUCUUUGUCUUGGGUAUAACCAAGAACUGUUGAUGAGUAUUACAGGAAUGAAAUAUUAACGAUGGACUUUUAUUCUAGGGGAGAUAGUAGACAUUAUGUUCUACUUGAUUCUUCUAAUGGAUUGUUGAUUUCGCUGCUAUUAUGGUUGGAAACUUUUAUCUUCUACCAUAUGUUCUAAAUAUCUGAAUUAUUAUUGAUGAAGGCUAUUGAUAAUUUAAUUAUCUUAAGUCAUGAUAUUCUUUACUGGGCUAUUUGUGCUCACCCUUUUACUUCAGCACCCCUUUUAGGUAAUAAAAGUGUAGCUGAGACUAGCAGAGAGAACAUGAGUAUAAAGUGUUGAUACGAAUUAGUCACAAGCCUAAUCAAAUUAUGAAACGUGUGGCAUAAUAAUUGUACUGAGAACUUAAAAUGUGUGUGACAUAUUUUAUACAUCAUUUGAUAUUUAAUUUUGGUGAACAACAAUUGGGUGAGGUGAAUCAGAAUUUGGAAACGUCAAAAAUGCACUCCAUUAGAAUGAGGAGGACAGAAAUCUUCUCGUGUUCCUUUGGGGACUUGAAAUAUUUGCUGCUGUACUUUAGAUGGCAUUGUAAUAAUUUGAGUAUGAAUAUUGUCGUAUUAUAUACGUUACAAUAUUUGUAUUGAAACUCACAGUAUAUGUGUCGUCGUAUUUUGCACUACAGUUGUAUAAAUGAAGCUGUCAGUCAUGUAUUUUCUAGCGACCAAGGAUGGGUGGCGUAUACCUAUUUUGGGGGCAUCACAACAGGAUACUGGAAUAGUGAGGUAUCAGACUUCUCUUCUUCUUUCUCUCUAUAAUUUCUCUAUAAUAAUUACUCUUGUGAGACUUAGUGAAUUGGUGAGAAUGAAGGAAGAAUGAGCUUCUAUUUAUAGGAAAAUAUAGUUUCGAUAAUUGCACGUUUUGGGGCUCGAAAUAUUACAAUAUAAUACCUUUAUCUUUUCUUUCAUUUUUAAUUUAGUCCUACAAGUAUUAUCAAACUUGCACCACCUCACCUAAUAGUAAAUCAUGUGAAUCAAUAGUAAAUCAUGUGACUCAAUAGUUCUAAACAUGUGAAAAAAAUAAUUACAGUAUAGUACCUUCAUCUAUAAUUUAAUCAUGCAAGUAUUAUCAAUCUUGCACCACCUCCCCUAAUAGUACAUACAUGUGAACACAUAGUUAUAAGCAUGUGAAUCAAUAGCAAUUAAUUCCUCAUUUAUUCGAUUAAUUACCCGAUUGGUCAAUAUAACCUCUAGACAUCAAUUAUUAUCGAAAUAAAUGUCGAUUUCCACUAACACUAAUAAUUCCAACACAAUGGAACUAUUAAUUUCAUCAUUAAUCAACACGAACUUAUUCAUAAUUAAUAUUAUAAUUCACAAUAUUUAACAACCAGGUCGUUCCCAGGAAAGAGGGGGCUUUCCGAUAAGGAUUUCUCCUUAUUGGCGCGCAAUUAGGUGACCAAACCUCUCCUUGAUAGAACUUCUAGACAUUGUCAAUAUUGCAAAUAAUAAUAUGAAUAACUUUGUUGUCUCAAUUAUUGAUUUAAUAAUAUAAUAUAUUAUACAGUUGAUACUAUGACAAUAAUUGAAUCAAUAAUAUGAGAGUUAUGAUGCAGCAAUUACUGUAGCAAUAAUUGAGUAUAACUGAGUGACUUCUUACGUAAGCAUCAAUAAUCAAUACCGUGUGCUUCUAUGCAACCACACGUAUUACUGUACUUUUACUACCGGGUAGUUCAACAGUUUUAACGGUAACACUCGCCGUUAUUUUUAUAAAAUGAUAAUUUUAUCAUUUUCUAACUACGACAAUACUUCCGUUGUGGGGUCCACAUCGUCGUACGAAUAUUUCUUGUUAAAACGAAUAUUCCCCUACCAAUCGAAUAUUAUAUAACAACUUUCUUACUUUACAAAAUUUAUAAAUAUUACACACAACUAUAACAUUAUAUCAAAUCCACACUAUAAUAUUCAAAAAAAUAUUUCGAGAAAUUUAAAUCUUUAUUCAUAAAAUUUGGGGUCUCACAAUCUCCCCUCCUUAUGAAAUUUUGCCCUCGAAAUUUACGUACGUACCAGGUAUGCUGAAGAGAUGAGGAUACCUUGACUUCAUUUCAGAUUCUAACUCUUGAGGUAUAACCUUUGAGUGUCGAAUAUAAUCCUUCUUAUCCAAGAUUUUAACACGUAUCUCCUCAUAAAUUAAAUCUUUUUCUAUCUCGUCUAGUUCUAAUUCAAUAAUGUGGUUUGGGUCAUCCACAUAAUUAUGUAACAUCGAUACGUGAAAAACGUUAAGAACACACGACAUACUUGACGGUAAAACGAGUCUAUAGGCCACAGUUCCUACUCGAUCGAGGAUUUCAAAUGGGCCAAUUAAAUCGAGGGUUGAGAUUUCCUCUAUUCAUCGACUCUUGCUUCUAGAAUAACGCCUUCUUGAACCUUCUUCUUCAUAUUCAUCAGCUCCAGGUGUGUAGUUUGAGCAGCUUUAACUUUAUCGAUUAAAGUCCAUUCUACUCGUAUAUUCGUUAUCUUCACGUGGGUCUCUAGAGUCUUUAACUCUAUCUUCGUCAUUGUAAGUUAUACGAAAUGGGUUUUUGUGUUAACAAUAUUGCACUCGUAAACGCAUACGAUCUUCUACUCAACGCGUCAGCUACCACAUUCGUUCUUCCACAAUGAUAUUGAAUGGUAUAGUCGUAAUCUUCAACAGCUCGAGCCAACAUCUUUGGCGUAUUAUAUGUUUGUUUUGGUUGAAGAAAUAUUUAAGGGUUGAAGAAAUGGGUUUUAUACUGUGGUCAAUACAAAAUUCGAUUUCACGCUCUAGGGUAGGCGAGGAAGUUCUUCGAGAAUACGUCAGGAAAUUUAUUAACGAUAGAAAUAUCAUUCAAAACUGUGACUCUCAUCCAAGACUUGGAUAGGACAUGAAAUGAAGGUUUCUACUAACGGAGUUUCAACCGAUAAGUCAAAGACUAAUUUCUUCGAAGUCAAAUUUAAACUUUGAGCGCAAGCAAGAGAGACAAAAUAAUGGGUAGAACCGGUAUCUAAUAAGGUAUAGACUUCGCCAGAAUUUAUAAUUAACUAACCUGUACUAACUUCGUUCGGGUUACUCGCUUUUUGAGAAGUCACGAAAAACGUUCUUCCUAAAACCACCGACUUUGUUUUGUCCGUAUCCGCCUUUAGUGCCACCAUCCCAACUGGACUUGACUUUAGCGCACGACAAAAUCGGGCUAGGUGAUCUUCUUUUCCAUAAUUAUAACAUGCUUUAGACUGUAUCACACAGUUUGGAACGGGUGCUGGUGAUACUGUCUUUCCAUCAUUUAAAACAUACGACCGACGGUCGUUCUCCUUCCUUUGAAACGGGUGCUGGUGCUACUGUCUUUCCAUCAUUAUUGAACCUUCUCUUCUUGAAAUUUCCACUUCUAUUAUCUUGGCCAUGAUUACCACUGAAGUGGUUACCAUUUCUAGCAUGAUAAUUUCCUCCACGAUGGUUAUCGUUGUUCCGAUGGCCGUUGCCACCGGUACGAUUAUUAUCGUGUUGCUAGUCAUUACCUUUUGGUUGAGCUGACUCAACGGUCUCAUGUGCUUCAUUGCUUAUCUCAACAUUUUCAGAUGCCUUUCUCAAACACUAUCACAAAACAAGGGUUAAUUGACAUGUCACAUAUUAUCCCUAUACUCUGACCGACCAAUUAAAUACCAAGUAAACUUAGGUAGGUCAUACUAGCGAAAGAAUUCUCCGUCUCUCCCCUCCUAGUUCUUGUCUCACAUCUCAGCCAGGGAUCAUAUUCCUAAGCUUUGAUACCAAUUGUGACGCCCCCAAAAUAGGUAUACAUCACCCAUCUUGAGUAGCUAGAUACAUGGUACAUAAAUUCAAAUACAACUUAAUUAUACAACAGUCGUGUAAAAUACGACAAAAUAUAGCUGAGAGUUUAAACAAGAAUAUUGUCAUCUAGACAAUAUCCACACUCAAUGGUGUCCUCAUUACAAUUAUUAUCACAUUAUUCCGUAGAAUAGUGAGGACUACUAAAGCCAUUUAUCCUGGACCAUCACUCCAUUUCCCGACUCGUCCCAGCUAUAUUCUCAUUUCCUGAAGAGAACAAUGAAAGAAAGGGUGAGCUCAACUAGCCCAGUAAGAAAUAUUAUGACUAAGAUAAUGCAGAAUAAAUUAUCCUUAGCCUUCAACAGUAUAACAACUGAUAGAAUACAAUAGACAACAAGUUUUAGAUCAACAACUGCAGCGGAAAUAAGCAAUCCAUUAGAAGAGUCAAGUAGAGCAUAAAAUCUACUAUCUUCUAUGAUUUAAAAAGUUUUUCAUCAACUUUAUCGCUGAGACUCAGCUUAAUAAAUAAAAUCGAAUCAUCCCUGCACCACGGCCAAGGAUAUUCAUGUAAUCAUCAAUGGUCAUGAUUAUACCGAAUAAUCCCUGGUCAUAAUCAUACCAACAACUGUCCAUCAAUGAACUACAGGCCAAUGAGGACUUUUACCACAUCAUUCGUCACAUUACGGUCAUGAUUAUACCGAAUAAUCCCUGGUCAUAAUCAUACCAAGUUCAUCUAUGCACGUAAGCCAAAGAUGACUUUAAUCACAAUAUAAGCAUGAGGAUGAUGACAAUGACAUAAUAAUUCAAUAAAACAAGUUCAAGGAUAAAUUUUUAAAGAUUUAUAAUUUAAUUUAUCCAGAAAUUAAUAACGUCCAAAUUGUCAACAUGAUACUGCUUUGUAGAGUAAAAUUCAAGAAUAAUAUUCAUGUACCAAAAAUAAUUUGGACAGCAAAAAAAUAUAUUUUUCGGGUGAAUAGUACUCCGUGAAUAGUACCCCGACACGAAAAGUAUCCCAAAUACCCGAGUGAAUGAUACUAGAGUGAAUAGUAAUCGGGUGAAUAGUAACCCGUGAAUAGUAACUCGUGAAUAGUACUCCGGCAUAAAAAGUAUCCUGAAUACCCGAGUGAAUAAUACUAGAGUGAAUAGUAACCGGGUGAAUAGUAACCCGUGAAUAGUAACUCGUAAAAAAAUACUAAGGAAAACGAUAUUCCAUGACGAGUACAAAAGAAAUGAUAUCUCAGACGAGUAUAAUAGAAUAUACGAAAUUGCAAAUGAAUUUUCACCCGCCAUGCGGUAAUCCACGUAGACAGACCAUUUCCACAAUUUAAUAAGGAAUGAAUACAAAGGAUCAUUCACCAUGCAUGCGGUAAUCCACAUAGAAAUGUUAUUCCAACAAAAUAAUAAAGAAUGGAAUAACAAAAGAAUUCACCAUGCAUGCGAUAGACCGCACAGACAGGUUAUUCCCAACAGAAUAAUAAAGAAUGGAAUAACAGAAGAAUUCACCAUGUAUGCGAUAGAACGCACAGACAGGUUAUUCCCAACAGAAUAAUAAAGAAUGGAAUAACAGAAGAAUUCACCAUGUAUGCGAUAGAACGCACAGACAGGUUAUUCCCAACAGAAUAAUAAAGAAUGGAAUAACAGAAGAAUUCACCAUGUAUGCGAUAGAACGCACAGACAGGUUAUUCCCAACAGAAUAAUAAAGAAUGGAAUAACAGAAGAAUUUCACCAUGUAUACGGUACUUCGUAUAGACAGGUUAUUCCAACAUAAUAAUAAAGAAUGGAAUAACAGAAGCUCCCUUCAUGAAUACGAAAGAAAUAAUACCCCUUACCUUAGAAGAAAUAACAUUAUAUCAAAUCCACACCAUAAUAUUCAAAAAAAUAUUUCGAGAAAUUUAAAUCUUUAUUCAUAAAAUUUGGGGUCUCACAGAUAUUAUGCAGGAAUUACUGUAGCAAUAAUUGAGUAUAACUGAGUGACUUCUCACGUAAGCAUCAAUAAUCAAUAUCGUGUGCUACUAUGCAACCACGCGUAUUACUGUACUUUUACUACCGGGUAGUUCAACAGUUUUAACGGUAACACUUUCGCCGUUAUUUUUAUAAAAUGAUAAUUCUGUCGUUUUCUAACUACGACAAUACUUUUGUUUUGGGUUCCACCAAUGAUUGUGUCAUCGUACGGAUAUUCCUGACAAAAAGAAUAUUCCAUGACCAAACAAAUAUUUUAUAACAACUUGCUUACUUUGCAAAAAAUUUCACAUAUCACCCUUAACUUUAAUAUUUUAUCAAUUUAACCAUUUACGAAAUAAAAUAAUAAUUAUAAGAAAAUUGAAUACUUUCAUUUCAUAAAAUUCGGGGUCUUACACCCUGCAGGUCAGUUCCAUAGUUCAAUUACAAUGCCCCAUGUCAUUAUUUUAUUUUAUUUAGUAUUGAGAAAUUAAGUAAAUACUACUUAGUUCAAUAUAUAAUUUAUUUUAUUUUAUUUUUAUUAUUUUUUAAUAUUCUAUUUAGUAUUGAGAAACUAAAUAAAUACGUACUAAUUAGUUCAUUAUUUUAUUUAUUCUAUUUUACUUUACUUUAUUUUAUUUUAUUUUAUUUAGUAUUGAUAAACUAAGUAAAUACUAAUUAUUUUAUUAUAUUAUUUAUUUUAUUUUAUUUGUUUUAUUUUAUAAUAUUUUAUUUAGUUUAUUUUAUUUUAUUUAGUAUUGAGAAACUAAGUAAAUACUAUUAAUUCAUUAUAUUAUAUUAUUUAUUUUAUUUUGUUUCAUUUUUAUUAUUUUAAAUAGUACAAAUUGUCCUAAAUUAAACGGUACACACUAUUGUUUCUUCCAAUAUUUCAGUUUAUUAAAUGAAAUUAUUCAAAAAUCAUAAUAUUCGAGUCUACAAAUUUAUUUUAAACAUUAUUUUAUCAAAACAUAGCUCACCGCACUCAUCAAAUUAAAUUCGGAAUGCUACCCAAAAUCAGAAUUAUGACAAGUUUCUAAAAAAUCAGAGGAUUCAAGUGCUAAAUCAAAUUCAAUUAUAUUCAGAAUGACAAUUCCUAAAUCAGAAGAUCCAAGUGCUUCCCAAGUUUCUCCAGUUUGUGUAAUGCUAUGGCAUAAGAAAUCCCAACCAAACUCACAUGACAUAUGACAUAGAAGGCUCAAACAUUUGAGAUACAAAAUCUAACAAUAUCUAACACUUGUUCGGAAAAAACUAUAACUACAUGCACAAAAUAUACACUGGGAUUCAACAUAUAUAUAAGAUUCAACCUAAGAUUUCAACAUUUUCUUAAAAAAUUCAAAUGAGAACAAAAAAAAAAUUAAUACCUGAUUUAUAGAGUGGCCUGGGCUUGGUCGAUGGCGACAACUUCGACGGUAGCAACCUUCCUCUCUUCCCUCUUCUUCUCCAUUUUCUCCCUCUUCUCCCUCUUCUUUUUCUUUCUUUCCACCGUCUCCUGGGCUGCUCGACUGCCUAUUUUGAUUAGAUUAAAGAAGAUCAGGGACCACAUGCGGUCGCUGUUUUUUAAUGACGUGGAUGUAUUAGAGACCGCUGGCGAUCGUUGGAAUUUGUUGGUCGUAAUAAACCUCCCCACCAACAUUUGCGCAAAAUUUAUGACGGCAAAAUUAAAUCAGCGACUGCAUGCGGUCGCUGAUAGUAGCUAGCAACUAGAUUUACAUACGGUUGCUAAUAUCGGUCGCUAUUAAUAACAUUAACGACCGGAUUAUGCGAUCGCUGAAAGUAUUGAUCGUUGUUGGACCAUUUUAUUAUAGUGUCGCCUCGUUUUCAAGCCUAUUGAUUGUAAUUAAGUCUAAGUUUUGACUCUAGACUGGAGAAUUAAAGUCUCCCCACUUAUAUCCGGAAUGUGUUUUCAUUAAGGCCAAUUAUGGAUGUGUGGACUUUAAACCUGGAUCAAGAUGUUUGCUUGCAAUGAUUAUACUUGAAAUAUGACUAUUAAUCACAAGUGUCUUAUUUGUUUUUAAAUUUGAACUUGAGACUAUUACUCCAUAGAUUAUAAAAUGACUUAAUAUAGGGGACUAUUUAAUACCAUGUUCAACUAGGUAUUAUAAUCUCAUAAAUUAUAAUCCCAAAAUUAUAAUACUUGUAAAGAAACAUGAGUUAUUGUCGUAUGUAAACUUAAGAAUGACAUUAUGUUAUUUUGACCAUCACAAAUUUAUCCGAAAUGUCAUAACGUUAAUUACAAUUAUAAUAUGUUUAUAUUUCUUAUAACUAAGAAUGUUUUAAAUUAAAUUUGAAAAAAGUAAAACCUAAUUUUACAUUUUAAACUUGAUAUUAUAAUCCCUAUAUAUGCAAAACGUGAUUUGAUUUGGACGCAAAGGUCAAAACGGAGAAGCGAAAUAUAGAUUAGAGAGGCUGCCCUUUCAAAGUAUAAAAGACUAACUACACAUCCAAGUUUCUUUCUCACAACCUAACGCUAUAAAUCAUUUGUUGAAUAUAUUUGAUCACAUGCAUUAUUAAUUUGCAUUUUUCUCCAUUUUCAUGUUUCUUUUUCCAAGUACACGUGGGAAAAAAAUUCAAUCCAAAUCGUUCCAAGUACAACUCGUCCUUUCUCAACCCUACUUAAUUCACAAAUACAAUUAUUUCCAAAUGUUGAAAUUUAAUAUAUACUAUAAGAAAUAUAUAGCUCACCCACUCUUCAUACAAGUCAAAAGAUGGCUGAAUUAAACAAUGUGUAGGUCAUACAUUAUUCUUAUUUUUAAGGGAUAACUUAGUCUUCAAAUUAUAAUUAUUUUUUUAUAUUUAGUCUCUUAACUAUUUUUUCGCAUAUUUUAUUUUUAAAUUAUAUUUUUCUUUCAUGUUAAUCACUUAAUUAAAAUAGAGUAUUUUUCACGUUUAAUUUUUAAAUUGUGAUUGUUAUUCAUAUUUGGUCUUUAAUUUAUAUAGUUGUUUUUCAUAUUUAGUACCCUUUAAUUACUCUAUUUUUAUAAAAUUUGACAAAGAUUAAAAAAAAUAAUAAAAUAUGAGGACGAAAUGCGUGAAAACAAAUAAUUUAAAAACUAAACAUGCAAAACAACAAUAAUUUAGAUAUAACGAAGAGGUUAUCCCUAUUUUUAACUCCGCCUAAUUCAAAUGUUCAUCAAUUGUAUAAAUAGACACAAAGUUAAUGAUACAAACUACUUGUAAUAUACGUCUAGUUAAAAUACAAUCGAUUUGACAUAUUUUUUUUAUAUGCAUAAAAAUUGUAUAUGUUGUGAAUAUUGCAGAUCUAUAUACAUGUUCUUAUGAAAUUAUAUUCUGAUCUAAAAGAUUAAGAUUCCUUGUAACAUAUGAUCCCUUCAUUUAUAUAGACACCAAAUUUCUUCUUAAAUUUUCACUACAAGAAAAAGGCCCAACAGUAAUUAAAAUUAUCUGUGACCGCCAUUUGUUGUCGCUAAUACUUAUAACAUCGACCGGUAUUAACGACCUCAUUUUAAUUUAGUCAUUAUUACUUUCCGUGAUUGUAAUCGGUCGAUGUUCGGUCGCUAAAAGAAUUUUCUAACAAAAAUUUGGCGUGAAAGUGGGGCGGGAAGCCUUUUUGCGACCGGAUCGUAAUAGCGACCGGAUAUCGGUUGCUAAUUCUACCACAUAGUUAAAAAUUAGCGACCGCGGGAGGUCGCAGAAAGCAGUCGAUGAUCCUAUUUAAUCUAUCAGGAAUUAGACAGUCAGACAGAAAUGAAAAAGAAUUAAGAAAAGAGAAGAGGGAGAAGAGAGAAUAGAGGAGUGCCCCCACCCCGGCCGGUCCACCCCACGCCGCCCUAUCAGGUAUAGUUUCUUAGUAAUGUAAUGUGUAUAAAUGUAUAAAUUAAUGUGUAUAAAUGUAUAAUUCUUUUAACUGAACAUAUGUAUAAUUUUCUUAUGUGCACUUUAAUGGUGAGUAGUAAUUUUAACUCAACUCGUGUGUAAAAGCUUUGCGAAAUAAAUCUUCAAUUUACCAAACUUGGAAAUUUUAUAUGGGUAUUAACAAGUACAAUCUAAUUAUAUCAAUGGUGCAUUGAUAUGUUCCAGAUGCAUGAAUUAUACCAUUUUUGAAUCAAUGUAUUAAUAUUAACCUUCAUCUUAGAAAGUAUAUAUAAUAUCACUAAUACAUUAUAAUACAGUAUAAUGCUUACAAUUAUUUAUUAGUGUAGUGCGAUUUAAAAGAAUGAACCCUCUAAUGCAUUCUAGUAUAGCAUUUUCAUAAAUUGAGAUGAGUAGAGGUGCAAUUAUUUAUGCAAAUUUUUGUAAAUAAGUACGAUACCAAAUUACUUAAUAAUCGCUAUCACACCGUACCAUAGUCAUCGUAAUUUUAUGGUGUGGUACUCGUACAAAAAAGCUUACCUGAGUUGCUCUUUAGAAUUCUAAGUUGGCACAAACAAUAAUCGAAUAGUCUUACCUUUUUUUAUGUUGUGCUUUGUAGGAUUAACUUUUUGAUGCUUUUGCAUCCAUUCGUUAUUGUUUUGGCCUUAUUAUAUUUUGAAUUUGUAUAUUUCUCUUGGGUAGUGUCUUGGGUGCCUACAAAUGACCAUAUAUGCAUACCCUCGUGCAUGUGGAUAGUGUAUAUUAUAGGGGAGACUAGCGAAUUUUUUUUAUUGGUCGAAUAACUGAAAAGAGGGGUAUAUUUUUAUAAUACCUACGUAUAUGCAAAAACAAAUGAUGUAGACUUGUCCCAAUGCAUAUGCAGACCAUGCAUGAUGCAAUGAUUCAUAUUAUAUCCCUAGGACUCUAUUGUCUUUAGACUGGUGCAGAUGUUUCAGUUAAAAUAUGUAGGAUGACAUAGGACCAUACUUCAUUCUAAUUUGAGAUCCACAACAAUAUAUCAUGCUAUGUAAAUUUGUUUUGGUACAUAUGUAUCCUCAUUCCAUUCCCGAAGCAGCAUUUAUGAUGCACACUCAUGUUAUAUAUGUACAUAUACAUCUAUAUGUAUUUAUAAGUAUCAUAAAUAGCAUUGGCUGAAUUGUAAAUCUCUAACAAGGGAAAUAAAAUAACUCUUGUCUGCAGUAAGUAUCGUGGUAUCAUGGACCUCUAUUUAGACCGUAGGUGGAUGAGUCGGCGAAAGUCAGGUGCCCGGAUAGGUGCUUCAGAUGAAUUUAGAGCUGGUUGCUAAGUGUUUUUAGAUUAUGCAUAUAGUAACCCAAAAUGAGUGAAUGGUCAGAACAAGAUAAGAUGCCCUUGUUUGAAGUGUAAGAAUAUAAAUUACAUGGACAGAGACAUUGUCAACUAUCAUUUACUUGUUUCUAGGUUCAUGAAAAAAUACGAAGAAUGCUAGUGGGCACAUGGUCAGAGAAGAGAUAGUGGUACAUCACACGUACACAAUUCGGGCAGUAGUACUCAUCGUAUGAAUGAAAUGGUUCAUGAUAUUGUAGGGUCGGAUUUUGAUUAGAAACAAGGUAGAGAGCAACCUAUGAAUUCUUAUGCCAAAGCGUUCUUUAAGUUGUCAGACGAGGGUAGAGAGUCGUUGUGGCAUGGUUGCACCAAGCACACUACAUUUUCUGCAGUGGUGACAUUACUUAACAUCAAGGUUGAUCACAACAUGAGCCAUGAGUGUUUUGAGUCGCUUUUGAAUGCCAUUAAGAGUAUGUUGUAUGAGACUAAAAAAUUUCCCAAAAACUACUACUAUUGUAAGAAAAUGGUGAAGAAGUUGGGUCUUGGAUACUAAAAGAUCGAUGCAUGUCCGAACGAUUGCAUUUUAUUUUAUAAGGAAGAUUAACAUGAGACAAGGUGCACAUUUUGCAGUCAUAAUCGGUUUAGGCCUAAUAGAGAGGGUCUGACAACAAAAAAAACAAAUAUACCUUUUAAGAUUUUAAGGUAUUUUCCAAUUACGGCUAAAAAGAUUGUAUAUGUCUUCCAAAAUAGCUGAACAUGUGACUUGGCAUGCGAAAUCUCAAGCUAAAGAUAGGGAACUAAACCAUCCCGCAGAUGGGAAGGCUUGAAAAGAUUUCAACUUAGCACAUCCUGGGUUUGCAUUGGAACCUAGGAAUGUGAGGCUUGGAUUGUCCACUGAUGGUUUCAACCCGUUCGGCCACUCUGCUGUUCCGUACUCUUGCUGGCCUGUGAUUGUUACUCCAUACAACUUGCCUCCUUGGAUGUGUAUGAAACAACCAUAUUUAGUUUUUUCACUUGUGAUUCCUAUUCCCAAGAGUCCUGGAAAGAACCUAGAUGUUUACUUGAGACCUCUGAUAGACGAGUUGAAGGUAUUGUGGGAGGAUGGAGUACAGACUUGUGAAGUUUUCUCAAAAAUAAAUUUCAACCUUAGGGCUGCGGUUAUGUGGACUAUAAGUGACUUCCUUGAUUAUGGUAUGUUAGCUAGAUGGAGUACACAUGGUAAGUUGGCUUGUCCGUAUUGUAUGGAGCGUACAAAGUCCUUCAAUCUAUCAAAAGGUAGAAAGCCUUGCUUGUUUAACUGUCAUCGUCGAUUCUUGCCGGUAGAUCACCCAUUUCGAAAAAACAUAGAACACUUCAAGAAAGGGAAAGUAGACAAUGAUAUGCCUGCACCGCGAUUUUCGGGGACGGAGAUGUGUGACCAUGUGAUGAGAUUAUCGGUUAUCUCAUUUGGAAAGACUGUUUCCUCAAACACAAUCGAUGGGUUUGGCGAGUCUCAUAAUUGGGUUCACAAAAACAUCUUUUGGGAACUGACUUAUUAGUCUACAAAUUUGAUUUGGCAUAAUCUAGAUGUGAUGCAUAUUGAGAAGAAUGUGUUCGACAAUGUGUUUAACAUCGUGAUGAGUGUUACAGGAAAGAGGAAAGAUAAUGAUAAAGCACGGUUAGACAUGAAAGAUAUUUGUAAACGUCCUGGAUUAGAACUUUAUGAAUCUACAAUUGGUAAAAUGUUCAAACCGCAUGCAAGAUACACAUUGUCCAAAAAGCAGGUUGAAGAAGUGUGCACAUGGAUUAAGUCUCUCAAACUACCAAAUGGAUAUGCGUCAAACAUUGCAAGGUGUGUUACGGGUGGGAAAUUGCAAGGGAUGAAGAAUCAUAACUGUCAUGUGUUCAUGGAAAGACUCGUGCAUGUUUAUAGCAUUUUGGGAUAUGCUUGAUAAACCAAUAUGGGAUGCUUUGACUGAUCUUAGUUAUUUUUUCAGAGACUUGUGUCCCAAAACAUUAAAUGAGAAGGACAUGUCAGUACAUCAUUGAGAUCACGUGUAAGCUUAAAACAAUAUUCCUGCCUGGUUUUUUUUGUCUCCAUGGAGCAUUUGCAAAUCCAUCUUCCCUAUGAAGCUCAUGUUAGGAGUCCAUUUCAAUAUAAAUGGAUGUACCCUUUCGAAAGGGUGAUGGGAAACCAUAAGAGGAAGGUGAAAAUAGAGCUUAUGUCGAGGGGUCGAUAUGUGAGGCAUACAGUUUCAAUGAGAUAUCUACGUUUAUCUCAGACUAUUUUCCCGACGAAGUCUUGACAAAGGUCAAUCGAGUCUCGAGACAUGAUGAUGGGGGUAAUGUUGAACUAAAUGGUCGGCAUUCUGUAUUUGGUCUAUCAGGUCGCGCUUAUAGAAAAAGAAAGCGCAUAUUCCUCUUUGAACAAGAUUUACAUGCUGCACAUACUUACAUUGUAAGACCCCAACUUUUAUGAAUAAAGAAUAAUUUUCUCAAAAUAUAUUUUUGAAUAUUAUGGUGUGGAUUUGAUAUAAUGUUAUAGUUGUGGGAGAAACCUUCAUUACAUCCACUGUUUAUAAGUCUUGUUUGAUUCAAAUCGGUAACUGCGCGUUACCUGUCGAACUUAUUUCCUUGAAAAUACUUGCAUUUGAUGUGAUUUUAGGGAUUGAUUGAUUAACUACUCAUCAUGCUAAAAUCGAUUGUUUUCGUAAGUUUGUUAGCUUUCAUAUUCCUAACCAACCUAUUAUGUGAAUUCAAGCAACCAAACCACUAAAAUCAAUCACUGUUAUAUCAAGUCAUAAAGCUAUUCGUUUAUUAAAAAAUGGAUGUCAAGCUUUCUUAGCCCAUGUCACGGAUUUAAAUAAAAAUAGGUCAGAUUUGAAUGAUAUUUCUAUUGUUAAUAAAUUUCCUGACGUAUUCCCUGAAGAACUUCCUGGCCUACCCCCAGAGCGUGAAAUUGAAUUUUGUAUCGACCUUGAAUUCGGUACAAAACCCAUUUCCAAAGCCCCAUAUUGAAUGGCUUCUAUUGAACUUCAGGAGUUAAAAACCCAACUACAGGAAUUGUUAGACAUCAGUUACAUUCAUCCUAGUACGUCUCCUUGGGGUGCUCCUGUUCUAUUCGUGAAGAAGAAAGAUGGAAGUAUGCGACUUUGUAUUGAUUAUCAGGAGUUGAAUCAUGUCACCAUCAAAAAUAGGUACCCGUUGCCUCGCAUUGAUGACCUAUUUGACCAGUUGCAAGGAGCCAAAUUCUUUUUAAAGAUUGAUCUUCGUUCCAGAUAUCAUCAGUUGAAGAAUAAAAUUGAUGACAUUCCAAAUACUGCUUUCAGAACUCGGUACGGGCAUUAUAAAUUCCUAGUCAUGUCUUUUAGAUUGACUAAUGCUCCUACUGCCUUCAUGGACAUGAUGAACCGAGUAUUCAAGGAAUAUUUGGAUCACUUUUUGGUUGUCUUUAUUGAUGACAUCCUCAUAUACUCCAAAACCCGUGAAGACCAUGAGCAACACUUAAGGCUGAUACUCCAAAAGUUUCGUGAAAACAAGCUAUAUGCCAAGUUAAAGAAAUGUGAGUUCUGGCUUGAGGAAGUUGCAUUACUUGGGCACGUGAUAUCAAAUCAUGGAAUAUCUGUUGACCCAGCAAAGAUUGAAGCAAUUCAAAGCUGGGAGCAACCAAAGUUAGUGACUGAAGUACAUAGCUUUCUCGGCUUAGCUGGUUAUUAUCGGAGAUUCGUGGAAGGAUUUUCUCGAAUCGCUACUCCAUUAACUCAGCUGACUCGAAAAGAUACAAAGUUCAGUUAGAGCGAGGAAUGUGAGAAGAGUUUUCAAGAACUCAAGAGAAGACUCAUUUCAGCACCUAUUCUGACAAUACCAUCUGGCUCGAAGGGAUUUGUCAUCUACAGUGAUGCUUCAGGCAAAGGGUUAGGAUGUGUUCUCAUGCAACAUGGGAAAGUCAUAGCCUAUGCCUCUCGAAAACUCAUUGAAUAUGAGAGAAAUUAUUCUACUCAUGAUCUAGAGUUGGCAGCAGUCGUUUUUGCGCUUAAGAUUUGGAGGCAUUACCUGUAUGGAGAGAAGGUGGAGAUCUAUACGGAUCAUAAAAGCCUCAAAUAUUUCUUUACUCAAAAGGAACUCAACAUGCGACAACGACGAUGGCUUGAGUUGUUGAAAGAUUAUGAUCAUACCAUCCAAUACCAUCCUGGAAAAGCGAACGUAGUAGCUAACGCACUGAGUAGAAGAUCAUAUGCGGGUACAAGUGCAAUAUUGUCAACGCAAAGGCCCAUUUUGUAUGACUUGGAAAGGAUGGAAAUAGAGUUAAAGACUCCAGGGACCCAUGUGAUGAUGGUGAAUAUACAAGUAGAAUCGACUUUAAUUGAUAAAGUUAAAGCUGCUCAACUUACGGACCUAGAGCUGAUGCGUAUGAGGAAGAAAGUACAAGAAGGUGCUAUUCCAGAAGUAAGAAUCGAUGAAGAAGGAAUACUUUGAGUCAACUCCAGACUUUGUGUUCCUAACGAUUCUGACUUGAAGUAUAAAAUCAUGAUGGAGGCGCACAACACACCGUUUGCAAUCCAUCCUGGGAGUACAAAAAUGUAUCGUGAUCUUCGACAUACAUUUUGGUAGAGAAAUAUGAAGAGAGAGAUAGCGGGGUUUAUCUCAAGGUGUCUAGCUUGUCAACGAGUCAUGGCAGAGCAUCAAGUGCCAAAAGAUCCAUUGCAACCACUUAAAAUUCCAGAAUGGAAGUGGGAUCACAUUAUCAUGGAUUUCAUUAGUGGUCUUCCCAAAGUUUCUCAAGGCAUAGAUGCAAUUUGGGUCAUUGUUGAUAGAUUGACCAAGUCUGCUCAUUUCUUACCGAUACGAGAAACUUUUACACUUGAACGUCUUGCUAGUAUGUACAUAAAUGAGAUUGUAAGAUUGCAUGGUAUGUAAAUAUCCAUAGUUUCUGAUCGAGACCCAAGAUUCACUUCAAGAUUUUAGGUUAGUUUGCAAAAAGCUAUGGGCACGGAUUUACGAUUUAGUUCGGCAUAUCAUCCUCAAACGGAUGGGUAGUCGAAAAGGACUAUUCAAACUCUUGAAGAUUUAUUAAGACUCUGUGUCCUUGACUUCAAAGGAAGUUGGGACAAGUUCUUACCAUUGGUGGAGUUUUCCUACAAUAAUAGUUAUCAAGCAAGUAUUGGCAUGGCUCCAUUUGAGGCGUUGUAAGGAAGAAAGUGUCGUUCUCCAGUAUGUUGGGAUGAGGUGGGUGAAGCAACGUUGUUGGGAUCGAAUUUGGUACGUAUGACUACGGAAAAGAUUUAAACGAUCCGACAACAUAUAAAAACCUCACAAGAUCGACAAAAGAGUUAUGUUGAUCUUCAUCGAAAGGACGUGGAAUUCAAUAUUGGAGAUCAUGUGUUGUUACGUGUUCCUCCAUGGAAAGGAGUUACGAGAUUUGGAAAGAGAGAAAAGCUCAAUCCUCGAUUCAUUGGCCCAUUUUUAAUCCUCGGUCGAGUAGGAACUGUGGCCUAUAGACUCGCCUUACCGCCAAGUAUGUCUCGUGUACAUAAUGUUUUUCACAUAUCUAUGUUACAUAAAUAUGUGAAAGACCUGAACCACAUUAUUGAAUUAGAACCAGACGAGAUAGAGGAAGAUUUAACGUAUGAAGAUUUACCUGUUAAAAUCUUGGAUAAGAAGGAUCAUAUUCUACGCUCCAAGGUUAUACCUCAAGUCAAAGUUUUGUGGAGAAACCACGAUGUGGAAGAAAUGACCUGGGAGUUAGAAUCUGAGAUGAAGUCAAGAUAUCCUCACCUCUUCGAUAUACCAGGUACGUACCCUAAUUUCGAGGACGAAAUUUCAUAAGAAGGGGAGGUUGUAAGACCCCAACUUUUAUGAAUAAAGAAUAAUUUUCUCGAAAUAUAUUUUUGAAUAUUAUGGUGUGGAUUUGAUAUAAUGUUAUAGUUGUGGGUAAUAUUUACAAAUUUUGCAAAGUAAGCAAGUGGUUAUAUAAUAUUCGAUUGGUCGGGGAAUAUUCGUUUUAACAGGGAAUAUUCGUACGACGGCACAAUCAUUGGUGGACCCCACAACGGAAGUAUUGUCGUAGUUAGAAAAUGACAGAAUUAUCUUUUUAUAAAAAUAACGGCGAAAGUGUUACCGUUAAAACUGUUGAACUACCCGGUAGUAAAAGUACAGUAAUACGCGUGGUUGCAUAGUAGCACACGGUAUUGAUUAUUGAUGCUUACGUGAGAAGUCACUCAGUUAUACUCAAUUAUUGCUACAGUAAUUGCUGCAUCAUAUCUCUCAUAUUAUUGAUUCAAUUAUUGUCACAGUAUCAUCUGCAUAAUAUGUUAUAUUAUUAAAUCAAUAAUUGAGACGACAAAGUUAUUCAUAUUAUUAUUUGCAAUAUUGACAAUGUCUAGAAGUUCUGUCAAGGAGAGGUUUGGUCACCUAAUUGCGCGCCAAUAAGGAGAAAUCCUUAUCGGAAAGCCCCCUCUUUCCUGGGAACGACCUGGUUGUUAAAUAUUGUGAGUUAUAAUAUUAAUGAUGAAUAAGUUCGUGUUGAUUAAAGAUGAAAUUGAUAGUUCCAUUGUGUUGGAAUUAUUAGUGUUAGUGGAAAUCGACAUUUAUUUCGAUAAUAAUUGAUGUCUGGAGGUUAUAUUGACCAAUCGGGUAAUUAACCGGAUAAAUGAGCAAUUAAUUGCUAUUAAUUCACAUGAUUAUAACUAUUUGUUCACAUGUGUGUACUAUUGAUUCACAUUCUUGUACUAUUAGGGGAGUUGGUGCAAGAUUGAUAAUACUUGCAUGACUAAGUUAAAAAUGGAGGUAUAGAUGGAGGUACUAUACUGUAAUUCGUAUUUUCACAUGUCUAGAACUAUUGAUUCACAUGAUUUACUAUUGAUUCACAUGAUUUACUAUUAGGGGAGGUGGUGCAAGUUUGAUAAUACUUGCAGGACUAAAUUAAAAAUGAAGGAAAAGAGGAAGGUAUUAUACUGUAAUAUUUCGAGCCCCAAAACGUGCAAUUAUCGAAACUAUAUUUUCCUAUAAAUAGAAGCUCAUUCUUCCUUCAUUUCUCACCAAUUCACUAAAGCUAUAGAGCAAUUAUUAUAGAGAGAAAUUAUAGAGAGAAAGAAGAAGAGAAGUCUGCUACCUCACUAUUCCAGUAUCCAGUUUUCUUCUAAGGUAAGGGGUAUUAUUUCUUUCGUAUUCAUGAAGAGAGCUAUUGUUAUUCCAUUCCUUAUUAUUCUGUUGGAAUAACCUGUAUACGCGGACUACCGUAUACAUGGUGAAAUUCUUCUGUUAUUCCAUUCUUUAUUAUUAUGUUGGAAUAACCUGUCUAUGCGAAGUACCGCAUACAUGGUGAAAUUCUUCUGUUAUUCCAUUCUUUAUUAUUCUGUUGGAAUAACCUGUCUAUGCGAAGUACCGCAUGCAUGGUGAUUUCUUUUGUUAUUCCAUUCUUUAUUAUACUCAGUUGGUUAAAGUUUUGACUUCUAUACUCCAUGAAAUUAGUGGAAUAUCCUUGAUAUUUGCGCUUCAUCCAGUAUCUUUUCAUGGAAAUAUUCUUCUGAGCAUUCUUGAAUUUUACUCUACAAAGAAGUAUCAUGUUGACAAUUUGGACGUUAUUAGUUCCUGGAUAAAUUAAUUCUUGAACUUGUUUUAUUGAAUUCUUAUAUCAUUGUCAUCAUCCUCAUGUUUAUAUUUUGUUGAAAGUCAUCUGUGGCCUGUAGUGCAUAGAUGGACUUGGUAUGAUUAUGACCAGGGAUUAUUCGGUGUAAUCAUGACCGUAAUGUUACAAAUGAUGUGGUAAAAGUCCUCAUUGGCCCGUAGUGCAUUGAUGGACAGUUGUUGGCAUGAUCAUGACCAUUAAUGAAUACACAAAUAUUCUUGGCCCGUAGUGCAUGGAUAAUUGUGGUCGUGAUACUAAAGAAUAUCCUUGGCCGUAGUGCAGGGGUGAUUCGAUGAUGUGGAUUAUUUAUUAAGCUGAGUCCCAGCGAUAAAAGUGAUGAAAAACCUUUUAAAUCAUAAAAGAUAGUAGAUUUUAUUCUCUACUUGACUCUUUUAAUGGAUUGCUUGUUCCGCUGCAGUUAAACUUGAUGUUUGUUAUAUUGUAUCAGUUUAACACUGUUUAAGGCUAAUGAUAAUUUAUUCUGCAUUAUCUUAGUCAUAAUAUUUCUUACUGGGCUAGUUGAGCUCACCCUUUCUUUCACUGUUCUCUUCAGGAAAUGAGAACGUAGCCGGGACUAGUCGGAAGACGGAGUGACGGUCCAGAUGAUAGCAUUAGUAGUCAUCACUAUUCUCUUGAAUAGUAUGACAAUAAAUGUAAUGAGGACUCCAUUGAGUGUGGAUAUUGUCUAGAUGAUAAUAUUCUUAUUAAAACUCUUAGAUUAUGUUUUAUUGUAUUUUACACGACUGUUGUAUAAUUAAGUUGUAUUUGAAUUUUGUACCAUGUAUUUGGCGACUCAAGAUGGGUGAUAUAUACCUGUUUUGGGGGCGUCACAUACAUUCUUCUCAAUUGCGUGGAGAUUAACGAAUUUAUGAGGUACACAUAUAAAAUUUCAAUUAUUUUAGGGAUAGCUAUAUCUUAACCUACAAUGAUAUACAUUCCAAUAUGUUAAUGUUUAUAAAAUAUUAUAGAUCAUACGAUGAUGAGUUAAAAGUGAAUCAGCCCGGCAUAACUGAUAAAGAUGUUCAAAUCAGUCGUGAUAAAAACUUUGUAAGGUGGCUUAAGGGAAAAAGUAUGCUACAUAUAUUAAGCAUUAAUAUAUACUCCAUUAAUUUAAGACUUCAUUUAAUGUAAUAGAGUUUUUAUAUGAUCUUACUAAGGGAACGAUUUCGGAUAAUGUACAAGUCCUAGCUAUGGGCCCAGACAUGGACCAAGUCAGCUGCAAUAGUUACAAGAUCAAUGGUUGUGAAUUUUAUAUAAAGGCAUAUGUGACAACCCAAAUUUUUAUAAAUUAUUAAAAUAAAAAUUUAAUAAUUACAAUUCUUAUUAUGAGAUGUAUAUAUUUUGAAUUAUGUGUUUUGGUGUGAAUAAAUUAAAUUUUUAUGAGAUUUAAUAGUUGAUUAAACUAUUGAAGAAAGUGAAGCAAAUUAGUUAUGAAAAAAGGAAAAUGGCG